AAGCACAUGGGUGUGUGUUUAAACUUCACUCCUGACAGAAGCUGGAAGUUACAGCAGAGUCAUAAGUAAAUCUGCAGGGAUGUCACGCAGGUGAGAUGGAGACCUGGGCCCAGGUAGGUGGAUGGGCCAGCUGCAGACACAGCUCCAAAGACAGGGGCCGUGGGUGCUGUCAUGGAGGGAGGUGGUGGGCGGACCAGUGCUCUGAAUUAGAGGAGCAAUCAGAGGCCAAAGCCGGUAAGGAGGCUCUCCUGCUGCCUUUCCCGCAGCCAGCCCUGGAAACAGAGGUACAGGUACCAAGUGGUUGGAAAGAUGACUGGGUACAAGGCCAUCUUGGGCAUCUACAGGAGUUGACAGCAGAGUCACAGGUAAGAUUCUCCCUCAAAGUGGAAAAAAACCCAGCCCCCGUUUUGCUAGAGCUUCCACACUUUCCUGUCUUUCCCCAAGGGCACAAGGUGGGUUUGAAGUUGUGCUGCCUUUGUGUGUAAGCAUCAGGGGAUUAGGCAGUGGUUCAAAGCUCACCUGGGAAAGAGCAAGAGGAAAGCUUGGCCUCACCUCAAUGUCGCCAUUUGACACCAAACGCUAUGUUCACCAGCGCUAUGUGGUGCUAGGUUCAGCUGUCUGAACAAGGGUUCCUGUGGCCACAGCAAAAGCGUGAUCAAUGAUGGUCAGACUGAACAGGGUACCAGCCCCUGAGUGAGUUCACUGCAGCUUCAGGAAAACCCUCCCCGGUCACCGACUGCUUCCGGGAAGCGCAGGUUUUCCUCUCAUGAGAAAUGAGCAGUUCCUAGGCCUGCAAAGGUCAAGAGCAAAUGCCUCAAAGUCACAACUCUGUCAGUCACCUCAGGGACACUGCCUGUGGGUGCAUGUUCAAGCAAACCAACAUAUUCCUCAGAUUCACCCAUCCUGACUUUCAGGCGGUCCUCUGGGGUGACAGCUCUCCCCACUGAAACAAGGCCUUGCUCCCCUCCCAGUGACCACACAGCACCCCGGUCCACGGCCCCCACCCACAUGAGCCAGCUGUGUCCUGCCACACCGGCUGCAAUCAUACCCUUCGUGAUGGGAGGUGACAGAGCAUCUGUUCCUGCUUCAUAGGGCUUUCCUAUUUCCUCUGAUGUUGAAAUUUAAUGGAAAUAAACAUUAGCAAAGAUUAAAGACACAAGUCAACAAAGCCACACAGCAAGGAACCAAAACAAUGUUGCUCCUCCUUGACGUGGACACGCUGACACCCUGUCUGGAGUGGAGGGACACAUGUGCAGACUCCAGUUUGCACUUUCAAAGUGGGGGGUACAGCAAGGAGGCUGGUGGCCAGGGACCACGUUUCUAUCCGGAGAACCCAAUACAAGCCAGGCUCACUGACAUAACUCCUGCUCUGCGCAAAAAAAGACACUCCAGGAACAAAGAGAGAAGGGAGAAGUUAAUGGGUGGCUUUGGCAAAGAGUCCAAAGUAAAGUGUGACUGCGGGCGCAAGGCUGCACUGCGGGAACCAUGACCUUCCUCACCUACUGAGGGCCGACUGCCCACAGGGACUGUGAGGCCAAGUGUGCACUUGCAACUGUAUGUGUGAUUACACAUGGAAUCUUGCAUUAUACAUAAAAUAGUAUACAUGGCAUACAAUAACAUGUCACAUGCAUAUUUAUAACCAUAACUAGAUGAUUAGACGAUAUUGGCUCUAUUGUUAUAUACUCAGAAAAGGAUAAUUUAAACAUUAAUACACUAUCAACGUGAUCUGCAGGGUGCUGAAUCCCUUGGUCCUAUCACCAUCUGAUGCACAUGAACGGAGCCUGUGGCUGAGUCACAGCGUCUCCAGGGGGCUGCUUGCUGCCUAUCUCUAUAGAUACCCGUCCCGCCCAAAUCAGCAGGGCCAUGUUCCUGGGUUUUGGCUCUGUCGCCUCGUGAGCACAUGGAGCGAGUGUGGCUUGGAGCUUGAGGGGAACAAGAGGCAGAGCCCAGACUGUGUGUCCUUGUCCCCACAAGGACAAAGGAGUGAGUAAAGAGGCCGUAGUCACUUCCACAGGGAAACAGAAGGAACCUCUUUAGACCACUCCUCCAGCGGGAACCUACCCUGAUCCAUCCUGCCUUCUGCCUCUUGUUCGAACACCCAGGACCCAGAGUGCAGGCCUGACAGGGCUGCCAGGAGCUCCAGGGGAUGACGGGCACCAGCACAUGGGGUGGCGGAUGCAUGGUCCCCCCGCUGGCAACACUGCUCCAUCCUCUCGGUGGCCAGGAUGCUGAACUCCAGAGGCUACAUAACCACAUGUGUGACCCACAUGGGUGACAAAGGCUGGACACACAGCCUGACCCCACAUGCCACAGCAACGGGUGGCCAAUCAGCCCUCACUGGAUUCACUCUGCCUGCCAAGGGCAACCUGCAGGCACAGGAGGGCGCCACCCGCUCAGAGCGCCCAGCAUUGCUCCCAGGAGCAAUGACACUGGGCCACAAGCCUCCCUGGAUGUGGGUGUGUCCACUGUGACCCUGGCUCGGUCCUCAAGGACAGUUUGCUGUUGGUCAGGUCCCAGCGCAGGGAGACACACGUGAGGACAACUUUCACCAGCAGGAAUGUGUCAGGUGCCAAAUGUGUCAGGGUAUUCCACGGAGCUCCCUGUUGCAGGAGGACAGGAGUUCUGUUCACAAACAGCGGCGGCCUCGACUUUCCAGCUGAACUCUUGGUGGACGAGCACAGAUUCAGGGAACCGGAGCCACGCGGUGUGCAGGGCCUCCCUUGGGAAAGGCACCAGCGCCCACGUCUCACCUCUGCGCAGGUGAGAAUCCUGCAGGUGAGGAUGUGCCUGCACAGGGCUGUGGGGCUCAGCCUCAGUGUCCUCAGAAAGGUCUUCACACUUAACAUGGAUGCGCAGACCUGGAGCCGUGAGGCAGGUGGUGAAGGGUGCCAGGCUGAUCUCAGGGGAAAUCCGAAUAGAUUCUGCACUUCAGCGGGAACUCUACUAUUAUCUGACGACUUCAGAGGAGAAUGGAACCUCCCUUCGCAGGAGACAAGAGAGACUUUCAUUGAUUUCCUUCUCUGUAUCCCCCAAACAGGUCAGUUGGCGGGCACAGGCCCCCAAGCUGCGUCUUGCUGCACGCGUGCCCGCCCCCGACACCAGGUGUGCAGAUGCAACGAUCGAGUGUGGAGAUUAGUCACAUACGCAUUCCCCCAGGGCAGCACUUUUCCUUCUUCCUAGAUUUCCUGAAGGUCUCCCAGCCCUGGCCUCUGUGUCAGCCUGGGGCCCUGCUCAGUGUCCUCGGCCCCCAUCUAACCCACAAGGCUGGUUCUCAGGAGUAAUGAGUCCACUGAAGGAAGCUGCUGCUCAGCGAAGCCCCCAAACCAGCGACGGGUAGGGAGUCCAUUUCCGUGAUUAUCACAAUGAGCUUAAAAUUCACUGGACCCCAGUUUUAAGCAUUAGUUCCAUCUGAGUCAUGGUUGACUCCGGUCUCAGAAAAGCAGGCUGAGCUUCCUGCUGGGCAGCCGUGGGCCAGGACAGCCCAUAAUUCCAUCAGACCCACAGAAGCCCCUGGAGCAUGACAGUCACAAUAGCCACAGCCCAGUGGCCAAUGCUGCAUCCACUUCCCUUUCCUCCCAUGGAGCCCACAGGCCAAAGGGGCACAAGGACAGGGCUCUCUGAAAAGACUGUGUAUCUGACGAGCCGCACUGGGGGACCUGACUCAACCAGUACAAGGGUGGCUCUCUUCCUUGGGACUCUCUCUCCCUGGCCAAGCACUUCACAAUAAAUCUCACAGAACCAAAACCUCAGAGUGAUUUAUUUCUGCAAAUUUGGCACAUCUGCCAUUGUUGUUGUGCUGUAUUGUCACGUGUGUCAGGAGGCCUUUGUGAGUCUUUAUUUUUUUCUUCAAAACUUAUAAGCUACCUCAAACCAUUAUGCAUUCAAGGAAAACUAUGAAACCAUACUUUCUUUAGCAGAGACUUUUUUUCCCCCAACUGAUUAAAUUGUUCUACGAUGUCAGCAGGGGACUUAAUGUUACAAGAAAGAAUAAAAUAAUCGAAAAAUAAACACCAGAAAUUGCACAGACAUUUCUCACAAAUGUUCCAUAAAAAUGUCAGCAUAACAGUGAUUCAUGAUGAAAAGAGGAGCCAUCAGACCGUCCAUUCCUCCAAACAGAUUCCCUGACCCGGAAGGUGCCCCCUCCCUACAGGUUCACGGCAGGGGGGCGGUGACACCCCCCUCCAGCAGAAAUCACAUCAAAGGGCAUCCGUGGCCCUGGCUGGAGACAGUGGAGCCGAGACCUCCAACCUCUGACCUCCGACCUCCCAGGCCUGGGCAUCUGCAGGGCAGUGGAAGGAGUGAGGGGGUUCAGGCAUCUGUUUAAAGAGACAAAGACCUAAUACUGACCCACAUCCAGGAGCUGCAGGGAGGAAGGGCACCCCCUCCUCAGACUCACCCUGGACAACGGUCACGGGCACCUGGGGUGCCCCCAGCACAUCCCCACACCCAGCCGACGUCCUCCUAGCAGAUUACAGAGAAAACCAAAGCCUCGGCCAUGACUCAAUCUGGUUUUUUGGCCAUGCCCAUGGCAUGUGGGAGUUCCUGGGCCAGGGAUCGAACCCACGCCGCCACAGUAACAACACAAGAUCCUUAAUCCACUGUGCCACCAGGGGACCCUUGAUGUGGAACUGAAGUGUGUUCCUUCAUAGUUCAGAUUCUUUACACUAAAUACCACAUGUGAUUCUCAGAUUACUGUAUUGUUUAUAUUCUGACCAUUUUAAACCCACUUGGUUUCCCCUCGACUUACUUGUCUCCAAUAACAAAGCAAGUGAGAGAGCUGCAUGUUUUUCUUCAAUGGUCAUCAUGACUGACUUUAUUGAAAUGGGCGCUCCUUUCCCUCAGGUAAGCUCUCCCAUCACCGUCCUGUGUCACAAUCCAGCCUCUGCUCGAUUCACAGCUGCUACAAACAGGUGUCCAGUGAGUUCAGACUCCUACCCAGACGUCCAUGUGCAGUGACCACUACGCAAACUCGAGUUUCUAACGUGGACUUGGCCUGUGUGUGCCCGAGGAGGCCCUGCUCCUGUGCCUCCCGCGGGGACUCGGCUGUGCCAGCCUUUGAUGCCAGCUACACAGAACACUUUUGAUGACCAGACUCAGAUGCUCAGGACUACCUCUCACUCUGCCUGCAAACAUUUAGGCCACCUUUGCACUGACGGUCCUCUCUCUUACUGUACUUAGGAAUGCCUGUGACAUCCAGGCCCUGGGCUCACGAUGGUCGGUUUCAAUAUUAAUAGAUCAUCCACGGCCCUCGCCAGGAGGGCCCUGUGCAUGGUGGGAAACCCAGAGGUGCUUACAAAGAGCCUGAGCAAAACACGUGAGGGUAAGACCGACCUUCCCGUGACUGCUGUUACCGACCAUUCACACAACCAAGCUACGCUUGUGGGCUGAGCACAAGACCCUAUUACUUUUCAAGUACCUGGAGGAACACAUCAGAUAAAAACAAAUCCAUUAAGAUACUAGACAACUGUAGACACGCUCACCAGAGGUCUAUUUCUGCUGUAACCCUGAGGACAAUAUAAUAUUUUUUCCAGUGAAAACUCCACAGUGUUACCAGUCUGUACUUACUUACCUGGUUGCCAGAAUUAGGUUUCAAAAAUGAACGCAAGGAGAACACAAAAUCAAGGCUGGUCUUGCAGAAAAAUGACAGCGGUGACGUGCCCUGGGCAAGUUGAGUCCCGAAGGAUCAACGUGGGCUCUGCGCUUCUCCACGUGGCCACCUGGCUCCGUGUCCCUUCUGGGCAGGCCCCUCCAUAUGGAAACAUAAGUCAAACCAGGGAUGCCACGGGAAUCUCUCUGAGAACAGAGUUGUUUCCUCGAAACUGGCGAGUGGAUGAAAGUGACCCAAAGCAAAAAGCACACACACUGUCCCUCUCAGUUUACAAUUAAAAAUAAUCACCAAAGAGUCCCUUCACUGAGAAAAAGCCUCCAAGGCCAGAGAAGAUCUCAGCCCUUAGAAAACCUGAGGUCAAGAACCAAGCUUAC
RNAcentral lists this long non-coding RNA (5982 nucleotides) under Sus scrofa (pig). RNAcentral describes it as "lncRNA (ENSSSCG00015071237.1)". Lineage: Eukaryota; Metazoa; Chordata; Mammalia; Artiodactyla; Suidae. The record is from RNAcentral.